GACGAACGCUGGCGGCGUGCUUAACACAUGCAAGUCGAAUGGAAAGGCCUGCUUUCCCUUGUGGAUUGCGGGUACUCGAGUGGCGAACGGGUGAGUAACACGUGAGUGAUCUGCCCCCAACUUGGGUAUAAGCCUGGGAAACUGGGUCUAAUUCCCGAUAGGACUGCAGGGUGGUGCCUGUGGUGGAAAACGAUUUUCUAGUGGUUGGGGAUGAGCUCGCGGCCUAUCAGCUUGUUGGUGGGGUAAUGGCCUACCAAGGCGGCGACGGGUAGCCGGCCUGAGAGGGUGGACGGACACAGUGGGACUGAGAUACGGCCCAGACUCCUACGGGAGGCAGCAGUGGGGAAUAUGGCACAAUGGGCGGAAGCCUGAUGCAGCGACGCCGCGUGGGGGAUGACGGCCUUCGGGUUGUAAACUCCUUUCGACCGCGAGGAAGCCACCUGGUUGGAAGGGUGGUGACGGUAGUGGUAGAAGAAGCACCGGCUAACUACGUG
This 494-nucleotide ribosomal RNA is filed under the name uncultured bacterium. RNAcentral describes it as "partial 16S ribosomal RNA". It matches the Rfam family "Bacterial small subunit ribosomal RNA", at positions 28 to 507 of the family's 1533-position model. The record is from RNAcentral.